This 220-nucleotide ribosomal RNA is filed under the name uncultured Actinomycetales bacterium. RNAcentral's name for it is "partial 16S ribosomal RNA". It matches the Rfam family "Bacterial small subunit ribosomal RNA", at positions 113 to 334 of the family's 1533-position model. Lineage: Bacteria; Bacillati; Actinomycetota; Actinomycetes; Actinomycetales. The record is from RNAcentral.
ACACGUGAGUAACCUGCCCUUGACUUUGGGAUAACUUCAGGAAACUGGGGCUAAUACCGGAUAGGAGCUCCUGAUGCAUGGUGGGGGUUGGAAAGUUUCGGCGGUUGGGGAUGGACUCGCGGCUUAUCAGCUUGUUGGUGGGGUAGUGGCUUACCAAGGCUUUGACGGGUAGCCGGCCUGAGAGGGUGACCGGCCACAUUGGGACUGAGAUACGGUCCAG